UUAGGAUGAUAGUUAAUUAUAACAUUUAAUUUGCAGUUAAAAAGUACUAAAUUUAGUUCAUCU
RNAcentral lists this transfer RNA (63 nucleotides) under Oomorphoides metallicus. Its description in RNAcentral is "tRNA-Ala". Lineage: Eukaryota; Metazoa; Arthropoda; Insecta; Coleoptera; Chrysomelidae. The record is from RNAcentral.